GCCGACCUCGGAUCAGGCGAGUGUACCCGCUGAACUUAAGCAUAUCAGUAAGCGGAGGAAAAGAAACUAACAAGGAUUCCCUCAGUAACGGCGAG
This 95-nucleotide ribosomal RNA is filed under the name Sunetta concinna. Its description in RNAcentral is "partial 28S ribosomal RNA". It matches the Rfam family "Eukaryotic large subunit ribosomal RNA", at positions 1 to 93 of the family's 3401-position model. Lineage: Eukaryota; Metazoa; Mollusca; Bivalvia; Venerida; Veneridae. The record is from RNAcentral.